GACGAACGCUGGCGGCGUGCUUAACACAUGCAAGUCGAGCGGUAAGGCCCUUUCGGGGGUACACGAGCGGCGAACGGGUGAGUAACACGUGGGUGACCUGCCCUUAGCUCUGGGAUAAGCCUGGGAAACUGGGUCUAAUACCGGAUAUGACUCCCAUAACGCAUGUUGUGGGGUGGAAAGCCUUGUGCGGCUAGGGAUGGGCCCGCGGCCUAUCAGCUUGUUGGUGGGGUNAUGGCCACCAAGGCGACGACGGGUAGCCGGCCUGAGAGGGCGACCGGCCACACUGGGACUGAGACACGGCCCAGACUCCUACGGGAGGCAGCAGUGGGAAUCUUGCGCAAUGGGCGAAAGCCUGACGCAGCGACG
This 366-nucleotide ribosomal RNA is filed under the name uncultured bacterium. RNAcentral's name for it is "bacterial SSU rRNA". It matches the Rfam family "Bacterial small subunit ribosomal RNA", at positions 28 to 396 of the family's 1533-position model. The record is from RNAcentral.